GUGGUAUGAAACAGUCCAUUUGUAAGCAAUAUUUAAUUAUUAACACAUCAUAUGUUUGAACAGAAAUAUUUAAAAUUUAAAAUUUGUGUUAAAAAUCGGAUGUUUCUUUUUAUUGAGGAGAAUAUAUCAUCGUUUCUGGACGUGGCUAUGAACGCACUUGUGGUUGCACCAUAUACUGACUCGGUGAGUAGAAAUUUCAAAAACAAUUGGAUACAAAUAAUAUCUAAAGUAUUGUUUAUUUUGUAUGUGUACGUAACAUCUGGGAACCAUAUAUCUAACAUAUAAAUACAGUGUAUGUUCCUGGUAACAUUUAUCACAUUUCAACUGAAUGCGAUAUAUGGUCGUUAUAGUUUUAAUUCUCGACUAAGAAGCAUCAGAUCGAUUAUUCAUGUCAUUCAUGUCGGAUUAUAUUUUUUAAUUAAAUUAUUUUUAAAAAAAACAUGUUCACGAUUUUGACCGGGCUUUUUUUUUUUUUGGUAAAUUUUAAUUCAAAGUUGAAAAUUUGACUUCAUCUUUAUAUUAAACAAGGAAGACUUCCGGUAAAAUUCCUCCCGGUCAAUUUUUAACCCUUUUUAAUCAAUUAUUCCAUAAUAAUUUUAAUAAUUAUCUUUACAUAAACAUUAAAAAUUCUGAUUAAAGAAAUUUAAAUGUUUUAAAAGCUAUGUGCUAAGAAAAUUAAUUUUCCAAACAGGCGUUCCAAAAUACCUGUUACCUAGGACUCCCUCCUCUAGGAAAAAACGUAAAUAUUACACACGGGGCACUCAUAAAAUCAGUUAUGCAAUAUUGUACACGCUCGUAUACGUUUUUAAUAUUCAGUAACAUAUAUAGAGCACCUUAAGGAUGUACUUAGGUUUAGGUUGAAUCUAAUGAAAUUAAAAUUGAUAAUAAGUUGGUAAGCAUUGAUCUGUAAUAUUCAUACAAGAAAUAGUUAUCAAUUCUGUUAGUGAUUAAAUUGGCAUUAUUUUCUCAAAACAAAAGAAAGAAAAUCAAGAAUCUUCUUAAAUUUUGGAAAAUGACCUUUCAUGAGAGCUAUAAAGUCAUUGUGUUAAAUGGGUGUUAUGGACAGGUAUUGUAUGGAAAAAACCAGGAGUCCGAACAUUUGACACAAAUUCCAAAACUUCACCUUAGUUUUUACCGUUGUAUAUUUAGGUUAAUUAAAGGAUUUCAGAUCAUGAGCAAAGCAAUGCAAAAACAUUUAAUUUAACAGUUUAAGCAUUUCACUUAUAAAACAUUUUUGUCAAAUAGAAAAGGGCAUAACCCCAAUUCCUGCAUAAGUAAUUUGACAUAUCAAAUUUUCUUUUUUGUUUUAUCAAAUUGAUAAAUUGUUAUAUCAAAUAAUUAUAAUCUGUUAUAUCAAAUUGAUAAUCUAUUAUAUCAAUUAAACAGAUAAUUUGUUAUAUCAAAUUGUAAAAAGUAAAUAAGCACGACGCUAAAAGGCUUCCGUAAAAAAAUAAAUGAAAUAAAAUAUUUUGUCUCUAAAAGUAAAACAAAAAUGAUUUUUUUUAGGUGGAAAUGCUAGAAGAAAAGAAAAGGACGAAAGCACACUGACAAGAGAAACGGAAACCAGCCGCCUUAAAUGGCCCAUCAUGCUCAUCUGGAAGGAAAAAAAACACAAAAAAAAAAACAUCCUCAAAGAAUAAAACCAAGCAAAACAGUACUUUAAAAGUUAACAAAGAUCUUGGAAAGAAACCAACACAUCAGCAUAGGAAAAUAGUUUCUAAAUCAAAAAGAAAUGGAAAAAACCGAGCAGCUCAAGAAAAGAUUCUGGUAGGAAUAUAAUUAUUCUUUUUUUAUAUUUUAUAUAAUGAUCUGAUUUUUAGCUCACCUGGCCCUAUGAGCCAAGUCAACUUUUCUCAUCACUAGGUGUUCGUCGUCCGGCGUCUUUCGUCCGUCGUCCGUCAACUUUUACAAAAAUCUUCCCUGAUGAAACUUCUGAGCCAAAAUUUAAGCAAACUUGGCCACAAUCAACAUUGGGGUAUCUAGUUUAAGAAAUAUGUCCAAUGAUCUGAACAACCAACCAAGAUGACCACCAUCGCUAAAAAUAGAACAAAUGGGGGGGGGGGGGAUUUUGGCUUAUAUCUCUGAAUCCAAAUCAUUUAGAUCAAAUUUGACAAGAAACAAUUGGUUUUCAUGUCUAGAUCUAUCUGUCCUGAAAUUUCAGACGAUCAGACAAGCUGUAAAUUGUUUGGUUUUUGUCCCUGAAUAAAUAAUUUUAAGGACAUUUUAGUUAUUAUCUUGAAUAUUAUUAUUGAUAGAGAUAGAACUGUAAACAGCAAUAAUGGUCAGCAAAGUAAGAUCUACAAAUGAGUCAAAUGACCAAAAUGACUAAUUGACCCCAUAAGGAGUUAUUGCUCUUUAAAGUCAAAUUAUAUAUAUUUUUUUUCGAAAUCUUUAACAAAAGUCUUCUCCUGAAAUAACUGAGACAAAUUUAAUCAAACUGGCCAAAAUCAGCAUUUUGGUAUAUAGUUUAAAAAAAAAAUGUGUCGUAUGACCCUGCUAACCAACCAACAUGGCAGACAUGGCUAAGAAUAGACAAUAGGGGGAAAUGAAGCUCUUGACUUGUAUCUCUGAAAUUAAAGCAAAAGUUACAACGGUUGCAUUAUUUCAUGCAUCAAUUGUAAAUAAAAAUAUCAAUGUGAGCAAUGGAGCAUCUUGUUCUAUCUUACAAUCACCUUUUACUAAGUGUUCCGAGCGACUGAACCGAACCCAUCUGGUUGAGUUGGAUUCCUCAAUAGAUGUCCUCUAUACUGUCUGUUUUAGCAGUAUUGACUCAACACAUGGAAAUAUUUUGCAAUAAUACUUCAAAGAAACUGGUCCGUAACGGAAAUUCACACUUCAUUUACACCUUAAAUGCUGGUUUACCUUUCUACAAACACAAUUCAUAUAAAUUGAUUCCCUACGAAAUCAACAGUUGCUGUUAUUAAAAAAGUUACACUUGUUUUUAUUUAGAUUGAUAUUUUAUAGUGUGUGUUUCUAGGUUGUGAUGUUAUGCUACUGUUUCUGAAAAGGGAGAAGAUUUGGUACCAUUAAAACGUUUAAACCAUGAAUCUGGAAUCUGAUGUAUAGUGGUUGUCGUUUAUGUAUGUGGUACAUUUCUAGUUUCUCUUUCUAAUAAGACCACAAAAAAAAAUUGGGAUCGUAUAAUACUAUGAUGUUGUCGUCUACGUGGUGGUCGUCGUCCGAAGACACAAUGGUUUCCGGACAAUAACUUUAGUUUACGUAAAAGGAUCUUUAUGAUUUUUGUUAGAAGGUUCAAUAUCACAAAAAAAAAGCCUGUGAUAAACUUUGGGCAUUAGUGUCCCAACCGUUUAGGAAUAAGAGGCCGAAAAGGGUCCUAAACAAGCAUUUUUCUAGUUUCAGGAUAAUAACUUGUGUAUGAAUAUUUCUAUUGGUUUGAAAUUGUACCAAAAUGUUAAAUACCACAAGUAGAAGGUUAGGAUUCUGUUUAGGGGUUAUGGGACCAACCAUUUAAGAAUGAAAAGGGGUCCAAAACCAGUCUUUUCUAGUUUCCAAAUAAUAACUUGUGUGUAAGUGUAUGGAUCUCUCAAAGAGAAUGAUGUAGAUUGAGUUUGGGGUUUAUUGCCCCAAACAUGAAGGAAUUAGGGGCAAAAAGGGCCAAAAAGAAGCAAUUUUUCUAGUUUCAGACAAUAACUUGUGUUAAAGUAUAUGGAUCUCGCUGAAAUUGUACAGUAAGGUUCCAGAUGAAAUCUUCAAUUUGCACACUGACAGUAACGAGCAAUAGCUAUAGAUUUGCAAGAUUUUUGACCAAAUUUAUUUUGUGUCAAAACCUAUAUUAUGUCAAACAUUUGACCACAUUCCAAUUUCAGACAGUACCAAGCUUGAAUGUUGUGUCCAUACUUGCCCAACUGUUCAGGGUUCGACCUUUGCGGUCGUAUAAAGCUGCGCCCUGCGGAGCAUCUAGUUUAUGUUUUUACACUAGUAAUUUUUGGGCCCUUUAUACCUUGCUGUUCGGUGUGAGCCUAAGCUCUGUGUUGAAGACCUUACCUUGACCUAUAAUGAUUUACUUUUAUAACUUGUGACGUGGAUGGAGCGUUGUCUCAUUGUCACUUAUACCACAUCUUCCUAUAUUUAUUAUCAUUUUACAUUACUGUGUUAUUAAUGAUUCGAUUCAUGCAUAAUUUUGAUUUUUUUUUGUCUGUUGUUUCUUACACUUUAUCAUCUUCGCUUGACAAUGGUUACAAUGUUAUGCCCAUUUCAACUACACAGCGAUUUCUUUUAAGAUGGUACUCUGACUAAAAUCUUGUAUAGGUUCUAAUUGGACGAUACAGGAUUGCAAUUACUUCUUAUUGAAAGCUUAUCCAAUUUGGUGUAAAAAAAUCCAGAAAAUCAAAAUAACAUUUUACAAAUUAUAUAAAAUAUGUUUAAAAAUCUUCACCUCAAGGUCAUUAAAAUUUACUUUUUUAAGUUAACUGAAAGAUUACAUGUAGUCGAUGUUUUAAGCAGCAUUUUAAUAUCACCGUACGGCCUUCAACAAUGAGCAAACCCAUACCUAAUAGUCGAUCAGCUAUACAAGGCCACGAAAUGACAAGUUUAAAUCAAUUCUAACAAGAAAACCAACGGCCAAAUUCAUGUACAAAAAAAUUAACUAAAACAAAAUAAAAAUAUGUAUCGCAUCAACAAACGACAAUCUCUGAAUUACAGGCUUCUGACUUGGGACAGGCACAUACAUACAGAAUGUGGCGGGGUUAAAAAGUAAAAUCACAAAAAUAUAAAACUCCGAGGAAAAUUCAAUCGGGGAGUCCCUAAUCACAUGACAAAAUCAAAUGACAAAACACAUCAAACGAAUGGACAACAACUGUCAUAUUUCUGACCUGGUACAAGCGUUUUAAGUGUAGAAAAUGGUGUAUUGAACUUGGUUUUAUAGCGCUUAACCUCUCACCUAAACAUGUUAGCGGGAUCCAAAACCUCUCAUAACCUGGGAAAGUGGCACAACAGUACAACAUACAUUUGUAAGAACGAACUAUAAAUUCAGUUGAAAAAGCCUAACUCAUCAGGUGGAUAAAUAGAAAUACAUAUAACAAAAACACACUGUGGACGUGGCCGGUACUUGUAUAUCCCAGCAACAAAAAAGACACUAUCCAUUUUUGCUGCAUACCAUGUAUAUGGCUUUUGAUUGUUAUGCAACACGGACAUAUCUAGUAACAGGAAAUACUACCUAUUUUUCCUGUAUAGUCUUCGAUGAGAAAAAAUGAAGAAUAUACCACUGGUACCCUAUGGGAAUUGCUUUAUAGGAAUAAUAUUGUUCUUUUGUAACAUUCUUGACCAACGGAAACACUUGCACUCUCUGAAGUGUUGAGGUUUUAAAAAUGAUUUUGUCCACUAGUAUAACAUACAUUCCUGGAAGCAGGAACCAGAAGGAUACGUUGAUAUUCAAACAUUUGCGUGUGAAAUUAACAUAUAGGAACUUCAAUUAGUUGAUUAAGAACUUUCAAAUUGUCACUCAUUGUUGUCUUAUAAUGUUUUUGGGUUUCAGACUUGAUGCAUAAUCACCACAUGGCAAUCGUUUAUUAUUUUUUCUACAUUCACACAUGGUCAUUAAACAUGUUAAAGGCUCUUCGAAUCAUUUUAAUUGAAUGCUGCAAGUUACAAAUGGGACCAAUAUAAUCAUUACCUCACUGAUACAAACUUCUAUCUUAAACAGCAUAGAGUGGAGAGGAUGGGACUUGGUCAUAUCCCUUAGCCAGAUUAUAUAACUUAAAAUAAAUUUAUUUUGUUUUUAUGAAUAUUGGUGUAUUAUUUGAGUUAAGUUCAUGCUAUUGAUACAUCUUCAUGUUUUAGACAGAGAACAUAAUUAUGCGGUACUUUAUUUUUUCAGAUAAAAACAAAGGCAACAAAGAAACAGAAACAAAGUACAUUCUUGUGUGAACUAAUAAUACUAUUACCAG
This 5906-nucleotide long non-coding RNA is filed under the name Mytilus galloprovincialis (Mediterranean mussel). Lineage: Eukaryota; Metazoa; Mollusca; Bivalvia; Mytilida; Mytilidae. The record is from RNAcentral.